Molecule: ribosomal RNA, 794 nt
Filed under: uncultured Pelagibacteraceae bacterium
Lineage: Bacteria; Pseudomonadati; Pseudomonadota; Alphaproteobacteria; Candidatus Pelagibacterales; Candidatus Pelagibacteraceae
Description: bacterial SSU rRNA
Rfam family: Bacterial small subunit ribosomal RNA
Source: RNAcentral
GCCUAACACAUGCAAGUCGAACGAAGUAGUAAUACUUAGUGGCAGACGGGUGAGUAACAUGUAGGUAUCUGCCCUUUGGCCUGGAAUAACACGAGGAAACUUGUGCUAAUACCGGAUAAGUCUUUACGGAGAAAGCUUUAUGCACCAUUGGAUGAGCCUGCACUUGAUUAGUUUGUUGGUAGGGUAAUGGCCUACCAAGACUGUGAUCAAUAGCUGAUUUGAGAGGAUGAUCAGCCACAUUGGGACUGAGACACGGCCCAAACUCCUACGGGAGGCAGCAGUGGGGAAUCUUGCACAAUGGAGGAAACUCUGAUGCAGCGAUGCCGCGUGAGUGAAGAAGGCCCUUGGGUUGUAAAGCUCUUUCGUCGGGGAAGAAAAUGACUGUACCCGAAUAAGAAGGUCCGGCUAACUUCGUGCCAGCAGCCGCGGUAAUACGAAGGGACCUAGCGUAGUUCGGAAUUACUGGGCUUAAAGAGUUCGUAGGUGGUUGAAAAAGUUGGUGGUGAAAUCCCAGAGCUUAACUCUGGAACUGCCAUCAAAACUUUUCAGCUAGAGUAUGAUAGAGGAAAGCAGAAUUUCUAGUGUAGAGGUGAAAUUCGUAGAUAUUAGAAAGAAUACCAAUUGCGAAGGCAGCUUUCUGGAUCAUUACUGACACUGAGGAACGAAAGCAUGGGUAGCGAAGAGGAUUAGAUACCCUCGUAGUCCAUGCCGUAAACGAUGUGUGUUAGACGUUGGAAAUUUAUUUUCAGUGUCGCAGCGAAAGCGAUAAACACACCGCCUGGGGAGUACGACCG